AACAUUAUCCCAGAAAACUAUGAAUUGCUUAAUCACAUUGGGGAGGAAUUGAACCUUGCAUUUGCUUUGCAUGAAAUGACCAGUUUUGAGACAGAUGGUAUUCUUGACUGGUUUGAGUCUAAUAUGAGCUGAUCAAUGAAUCUUGUGGCUCAAUGAAUCUUGUGGCUGAUCAAUGAAUCUUGUGGCUCAAUGAAUCUUGUGGCUGAUCAAUGAAUCUUGUGGCUCAUUCUUUUAUGAGCUGAUCAAUGAUAUAUGAGCUCUUAUUUACAGACAGAAAACUAUAAUAUGAGCUGAUCAAUGAAUCUUGUGGCUCAUUCUUUUUAAAGAAACGUUCA
RNAcentral lists this long non-coding RNA (335 nucleotides) under Musa acuminata (dwarf banana). Its description in RNAcentral is "long non-coding RNA (MACU_LNC000889)". The record is from RNAcentral. Lineage: Eukaryota; Viridiplantae; Streptophyta; Magnoliopsida; Zingiberales; Musaceae.